AGAACGAACGCUGGCGGCAGGCUUAACACAUGCAAGUCGAACGCUCGGAGCAAUCCGGGAGUGGCAGACGGGUGAGUAACGCGUGGGAAUAUACCCUUCGGUUCGGAAUAACUUGGGGAAACUCAAGCUAAUACCGAAUACGGCCUAUGGGCGAAAGAUUGAUCGCCGAGGGAAUAGCCCGCGUCCGAUUAGCUAGUUGGUGAGGUAAUGGCUCACCAAGGCGACGAUCGGUAGCUGGUCUGAGAGGAUGACCAGCCACAUUGGGACUGAGACACGGCCCAAACUCCUACGGGAGGCAGCAGUGGGGAAUAUUGGACAAUGGGCGCAAGCCUGAUCCAGCCAUGCCGCGUGAGUGAUGAAGGCCUUAGGGUUGUAAAGCUCUUUCGCACGCGACGAUAAUGACGGUAGCGUGAGAAGAAGCCCGGCUAACUUCGCGCCAGCAGCCGC
This 447-nucleotide ribosomal RNA is filed under the name uncultured bacterium. RNAcentral's name for it is "SSU rRNA". It matches the Rfam family "Bacterial small subunit ribosomal RNA", at positions 26 to 518 of the family's 1533-position model. The record is from RNAcentral.